Long non-coding RNA from Triticum dicoccoides, 801 nucleotides. RefSeq lists it as uncharacterized. Lineage: Eukaryota; Viridiplantae; Streptophyta; Magnoliopsida; Poales; Poaceae. The transcript has 3 exons. The record is from RefSeq and is a predicted model, not a curated record.
GUUAGAUCCUGCCCUGGUAUUAAGACGUUCCCCGCAAACCUGCACAAACGGCUGGACAACAUCGAGAAGAAAAACAUAGAUGCCCAUUAUUCUGAAGAUUCAUCAAGGCCCAUCCCUAUCCUUUUGAAACCGAAGACAUGGGCAUAUGCCAUCCGUAGAGAUUAGAGAAUCACAAGAAUACCAGUACGGAAGUUGUCAUGCAGAAUCCAUCCAGCACAAGCAGAUGGGAAACAGAGAUCACUUGGAGUAGAAGUAUUGCCGUGCAAAAGACGCCCACCGGAACAGUGAGACCAGUAAUCCGAAAGUGCUCCUAUAAUACUAUUGGCUAUCAUUCUGUUACCAGAAAUAGAUGUUGUUUGAAUAGCAAGUACUUGUAUUUUGCCGCCCCUGUUUUCCAAGAGGCACGGCGACACUCUGCCCUGGGCACUGUCAGUUUUUUGUCAAAAUUCUGUCGCAGUUCCCCAAUUUUUUUUAUGGACUUGUAUAUCAGUGAGACUAUGGAUGGAGUUAUCCCUUAUUGUGCAAAGAAACAUAGGUGAUGAUCUUGAAAAUGUAGCUUGCUUGUGGACUAGCAACAGUAAAAACAUCGUGAUUAACAUGGUUGCUUCUUAACUUGUAUUUCCUUUUUAACUUGUAUUUCCUUUUUGAGUGCUAUACCCAGAAGAGGUAACUUCUUAACUUGUAUUUUCCCACCUCUUUUUACCUACAGUCAUGUCAUUGUAUUUCCUUUCCAACAAGCAUGGCGGUAUUCUUCCCUGGGCAUUGACAGUUUUUUGUCGAAAUUAUGUCAUGGUUUUCCUG